UCAUCUUGUCUCCUCUCUCUUCUUGCCCUAGCCCCCAUCCCCGUUCUCUCUCCAGGCAAGACCCAUGACUUGAUCCGCAGGCCGGAUCAAGUGGCACCCAAGAGUGGGGGCUAGGCCUGGCAUGAGAGGUUUCAACGUGGGACCAUACACAGGAGUAAAUCGCUGCGCAGCAUGACUGAUUCAAGGGCUUUGUCCCUGUGAUCCGUGCAGACGGCCGCCUUCUCACCUGAAUCACGUUCUUCUAGCUCAUCUGCCUGUGACUGGGACAAUCACCACAAGCUGACUCUUCCUGACAUCUCUGGUAGAGGGACCUGUCUCAGGGACUCCAGCCACCCACCAGCACUGGCAGCAGGACUCUGUGCCCAGCUUCAUUCAGAGUUCCAACAAACAAUUACCUCAUCCCUUCCCCAGGAACGUCUUGGGCCUGCAAUUUUGGCCUCUCACCCUGUAUAGCAACUACUGUUUUUAACAAGUCUAUAGAUUUUGUGUUCUUGUACAGGUUCUUCCUCGCAUAACAUUCCACCCAGGAGACUACUACCUCCAGGCAUCACAGAUUGACUAUAUAUAUAAAAGAGAACCUGCCACACUCACCUUAGCUAUAUUACUAGGGUUAGGAGUUGCAACGGGGAUAGGAACAGGGACUACAGCUCUAGUGUUGGGAAAUCAAUAUCUAGCUCAAUUACAGGCGACAGUAGAUCAAGAUUUAAAAGAAAUAGAAACAUCUGUAAUGGCUUUACAGGCAUCUCUGACAUCUUUAUCUGAGGUAGUCCUACAAAAUAGAAGAGGACUAGACCUCCUAUUUAUGAAGAAGGAUGGCUUUUGUGCUACCCUCAAAGAAGAAUUCUGUUUUUAUGCGAGUCAUCAGAGAGUCAAUGACUAAACUAAGAGAAUGCCUCAAAGAGAGAGAAAAGGAGCACCUCAGAUAAACUACCUUCUCUUCCAUGUGAGGGGGUCUCUUCCCUUACAUUGCCCCCCUCUUGGGACCCCUAGCUGCUUUAUUGCUACUCCUUACUGUAGGCCCUUGUAUUUUCCAGAGGAUCAUGACACUCAUUAAUAACAGGAUUGACGCAUUUAUGGCAAAGCCCAUUCAGGUACAUUACCAUCAAUUGGAGAUGGCAGAACAACAAAUUUAUUGGGAAAGAACAUCCACGGAUGGUCCACAUAAUGAUGUGGCCCUAAUGCCUUGAGGCACUGAACAGGCAGCCAAAGAUGGGCAACUUGGACAUUUGUGUCACACCUCCAAGCUGCCUAAGACAGGCACAGGACCAGCUGCUAUCCUGCAGGCCCAUGACAGGAAAGGCCUGGUUGGGGUCACAAAUAGAGACUAUGACCCAAGACAGGCGCCAUCCUCACAAAGCCUGCUAUACUCUUGAUAUUAUAAAUAUAAAGGGAGGAGAGGUAGGGAGUGGCAUAUCUCACUGCUGCCACCUUAUCUCGCCUUCCUGUGAGCCUCUGCCAUGUCCGCCUACAUUUCCCAUGAUCUUCUCAUGCUUGCGUACUUCCCCUUACCUAGUUGCCUAUACAUGGUUUCCUGCUAAUCUGAUAAGUCCACGUCAUAUGAGGAGAUCUAAACUGACCUAUCCUAUAAAGCCACAUUCCCUUGGGCUUUAUAUAAGCCAUGUACACUUCCUGAAUAAACGAGACUUGAUUGGAA
Cavia porcellus (domestic guinea pig) is the source of this 1654-nucleotide long non-coding RNA. RefSeq lists it as uncharacterized. The transcript has 2 exons. The record is from RefSeq and is a predicted model, not a curated record. NCBI's taxonomy places the organism in Eukaryota, Metazoa, Chordata, Mammalia, Rodentia, Caviidae.